RNAcentral lists this ribosomal RNA (603 nucleotides) under uncultured bacterium. RNAcentral's name for it is "bacterial SSU rRNA". The stretch from base 1 to 514 matches the Rfam family "Bacterial small subunit ribosomal RNA", at positions 338 to 873 of the family's 1533-position model. The record is from RNAcentral.
CCUACGGGAGGCAGCAGUGGGGAAUAUUGCGCAAUGGGCGAAAGCCUGACGCAGCGACGCCGCGUGAGGGAUGAGGGCCUUCGGGUUGUAAACCUCUUUCAGCAGGGACGAAAACAGACGGUACCUGCAGAAGAAGCACCGGCCAACUACGUGCCAGCAGCCGCGGUAAUACGUAGGGUGCAAGCGUUGUCCGGAAUUAUUGGGCGUAAAGAGCUCGUAGGCGGUUUGUCGCGUCGGCUGUGAAAACUCGGGGCUCAACCCCGAGCCUGCAGUCGAUACGGGCAGACUAGAGUGCUGUAGGGGAGACUGGAAUUCCUGGUGUAGCGGUGAAAUGCGCAGAUAUCAGGAGGAACACCGGUGGCGAAGGCGGGUCUCUGGGCAGUAACUGACGCUGAGGAGCGAAAGCGUGGGGAGCAAACAGGAUUAGAUACCCUGGUAGUCCACGCCGUAAACGGUGGGUGCUAGGUGUGAGCGUAGUCACGCGUCGUGCGCNGCUACGCAUAGUACACCCGCCGUCGGGUAGGUACGGCCGCGACGACGUAAACCUACAANAGAAGUUAGACGGCGUGAGACGUGCCGACGGACGACGACGAGGGAGGUAGG